Malus domestica (apple) is the source of this 937-nucleotide non-coding RNA. Lineage: Eukaryota; Viridiplantae; Streptophyta; Magnoliopsida; Rosales; Rosaceae. The record is from RefSeq and is a predicted model, not a curated record.
UUAAAAUAUAUUUUCCUUAACGGGUAACAGGUCGGGUCAUAUUACCUGUUAAUAUUAUCGGGUCAAUUUCGGGUCGGGUUAUUUUACCCGUUUAUUUUAACGGGUGUUACACCUAAUUUACCCUAUAAACUCAUAACAUUUCAUAUAAGUUGUGAAUCUAACAUCUAAUUUACCCUUCAAAGUUAACUCCAUACAUUAUUUUUUUAUAAAAAUUACCAAUCUACCUUCCAAUGUGUAUCAUAUGCAAGUAACGUGACUCAAAUUGACGGAAAUUUGAAUAUAAUCAGUGAUGUAAUUGACAGAUUUUAUAAUUGAAUGACUAAUUUUUCUGAAAAAAAAAAUAGUUUCGGAACUUAAUUUUCACUUAAGUGAUCAUUCAGAAACUAAAUUGAUAAUUUACCUCUUUUUUUUUAAGAGUGACAAUAACAACUCUCUUCUUUUUAUUGAUAAUUAUUACCAAGUUUUGUCACAGCCCGUCCCGAGAUUCUAUUUAUCAAGGUUGUGAAAUGACGAAAGUACCUUUGACGGUUACUAAGGUAUAUGUGUGACUUGUUAUUAAAUAAUACAUAUUUUCCUAAGUUUGGAAAAUUAAAAUGGAUUAAAAUUGAUUUGCAUUUUGUGUGGUUAGGGGAGGGACACACACUUAAAAUCAAACCUCACACCCUCUCUCCUAUCCCGUGCUCUCUCUCUCCUCUUCUCGGUUCUCUCUCUCUCCCUUCGAAUUGUACGGACAAAGAACAAAACCCUCAAAUCAUCACAGAUCGACGCCAAUAAGGGAAUUCUAAGCUUACAAGGAGCUUAGUGAGGUCCUAAGGAAGCUCGGAGUGCUUAGUUUGAAGGUUUUGGACGUCGAGAUCACUGAGUUCGAAGUUAGCCGGUUUUCUUGGAAUUUCUCUGGUGAUACCUAUACCGAGGACGAGCGCAUCCAGGGACGUCA